ACGGUAACAGGUCUUCGGAUGCUGACGAGUGGCGAACGGGUGAGUAAUACAUCGGAACGUGCCCGAUCGUGGGGGAUAACGAAGCGAAAGCUUUGCUAAUACCGCAUACGAUCUACGGAUGAAAGCAGGGGACCGCAAGGCCUUGCGCGAACGGAGCGGCCGAUGGCAGAUUAGGUAGUUGGUGGGAUAAAAGCUUACCAAGCCGACGAUCUGUAGCUGGUCUGAGAGGACGACCAGCCACACUGGGACUGAGACACGGCCCAGACUCCUACGGGAGGCAGCAGUGGGGAAUUUUGGACAAUGGGCGAGAGCCUGAUCCAGCCAUGCCGCGUGCAGGAUGAAGGCCUUCGGGUUGUAAACUGCUUUUGUACGGAACGAAAAGACUCUGGUUAAUACCUGGGGUCCAUGACGGUACCGUAAGAAUAAGCACCGGCUAACUACGUGCCAGCAGCCGCGGUAAUACGUAGGGUGCAAGCGUUAAUCGGAAUUACUGGGCGUAAAGCGUGCGCAGGCGGUUAUAUAAGACAGAUGUGAAAUCCCCGGGCUCAACCUGGGAACUGCAUUUGUGACUGUAUAGCUAGAGUACGGCAGAGGGGGAUGGAAUUCCGCGUGUAGCAGUGAAAUGCGUAGAUAUGCGGAGGAACACCGAUGGCGAAGGCAAUCCCCUGGGCCUGUACUGACGCUCAUGCAC
RNAcentral lists this ribosomal RNA (691 nucleotides) under uncultured bacterium. RNAcentral's name for it is "bacterial SSU rRNA". It matches the Rfam family "Bacterial small subunit ribosomal RNA", at positions 66 to 754 of the family's 1533-position model. The record is from RNAcentral.